Molecule: ribosomal RNA, 530 nt
Filed under: uncultured bacterium
Lineage: Bacteria
Description: bacterial SSU rRNA
Rfam family: Bacterial small subunit ribosomal RNA
Source: RNAcentral
AAUAGAUACCCCGGUAGUCCACGCCGUAAACGAUGAGUGCUAAGUGUUAGAGGGCUUCCACCCUUUAGUGCUGCAGCUAACGCAUUAAGCACUCCGCCUGGGGAGUACGGCCGCAAGGCUGAAACUCAAAGGAAUUGACGGGGGCCCGCACAAGCGGUGGAGCAUGUGGUUUAAUUCGAAGCAACGCGAAGAACCUUACCAGGUCUUGACAUCCUUCGCUACCUCUAGAGAUAGAGGGUUCCCCUUCGGGGGACGGAGUGACAGGUGGUGCAUGGUUGCCGUCAGCUCGUGUCGUGAGAUGUUGGGUUAAGUCCCGCAACGAGCGCAACCCUUGAUCUUAGUUGCCAGCAUUCAGUUGGGCACUCUAAGGUGACUGCCGGUGACAAACCGGAGGAAGGUGGGGGAUGACGUCAAAUCAUCAUGCCCCUUAUGACCUGGGCUACACACGUGCUACAAUGGAUGGUACAAAGAGCUGCGAACCCGCGAGGGUAAGCGAAUCUCAUAAAGCCAUUCUCAGUUCGGAUUGUAGG